This 233-nucleotide unclassified non-coding RNA is filed under the name Hevea brasiliensis (rubber tree). Lineage: Eukaryota; Viridiplantae; Streptophyta; Magnoliopsida; Malpighiales; Euphorbiaceae. The record is from RNAcentral.
UUGCCUCUAACUUCAACUUCUGAAUGGAUCUUCAAUUCAUUGUGCUCAUGGAGCUUAGUUAUAUUGUACAUAAGCCUAUUUCUAUGUAAUAAUAAUAUAUCCUAAGAAGAAGCAAACUGCUCUGAUAUUGUAAGAGAGACUUUCAGACAUCUAUUGACAUGUAACAGGAGUACUGAAGGUCGAUGAAGAACAUUUGUAACAAGUAUCAUUUGAUUAAACAGGAGCUGGGUUCA